This 463-nucleotide ribosomal RNA is filed under the name uncultured bacterium. RNAcentral describes it as "partial 16S ribosomal RNA". It matches the Rfam family "Bacterial small subunit ribosomal RNA", at positions 342 to 795 of the family's 1533-position model. The record is from RNAcentral.
CGGGAUGCUGCACCAGUGGGGAAUAUUGCACAAUGGGCGCAAGCCUGAUGCAGCCAUGCCGCGUGUAUGAAGAAGGCCUUCGGGUUGUAAAGUACUUUCAGCGGGGAGGAAGGGAGUAAAGUUAAUACCUUUGCUCAUUGACGUUACCCGCAGAAGAAGCACCGGCAACUCCGUGCCAGCAGCCGCGGUAAUACGGAGGGUGCAAGCGUUAAUCGGAAUUACUGGGCGUAAAGCGCACGCAGGCGGUUUGUUAAGUCAGAUGUGAAAUCCCCGGGCUCAACCUGGGAACUGCAUCUGAUACUGGCAAGCUUGAGUCUCGUAGAGGGGGGUAGAAUUCCAGGUGUAGCGGUGAAAUGCGUAGAGAUCUGGAGGAAUACCGGUGGCGAAGGCGGCCCCCUGGACGAAGACUGACGCUCAGGUGCGAAAGCGUGGGGAGCAAACAGGAUUAGAUACCCUUGUAGUC